Molecule: long non-coding RNA, 504 nt
Filed under: Dermacentor andersoni
Lineage: Eukaryota; Metazoa; Arthropoda; Arachnida; Ixodida; Ixodidae
Description: uncharacterized LOC126520580
Source: RNAcentral
CUCAGUCAGGGAGACAUCCAUGCAUAAGGGGAGGGGUAUGGCAAAUAGAGGGCGUUCGAUUAACCUUUCUCACAUAGAUAGCUGAUACAUAUAAUCUUUCUUAAAUUGGAUGCUUUGUUGCUCAAAGUGAAGUUACUUAUGGGCAUAAUGUCAGCAUUUCGAUCCUAUUUAUGCUUAACGAAAGUUGCUUUGUUCAGUGUCACUUUUUAUAUUGUUUCGCUUGUGAUUCUAAGCUCACUUGUUUUAUAGCUGCUGUAGGUAUGGCUGGACCUGGAGAAGAAGUGUAAGCAGACCAUGCUAUGUUGCUGAUCUGCGCUGAUCUCCACAUCCAAGUUGGUCCCGCGACAGUUGGGCACCAUUGUGCCUUGCUUCAUUGACAAGGUGAUAUAAUAUGGUGCCCUGCUCGCUCUCACCCAAGCAACCCACUCCAGCGGUCUUCUCUCGGCAGACUGGAUGCAUCGAAAUACCGUUAGAAGGUCCAAUAAACAGUGCUUGGGACAUUUA